This 279-nucleotide ribosomal RNA is filed under the name uncultured bacterium. RNAcentral's name for it is "partial 16S ribosomal RNA". It matches the Rfam family "Bacterial small subunit ribosomal RNA", at positions 506 to 784 of the family's 1533-position model. The record is from RNAcentral.
UGCCAGCCGCCGCGGUAAUACGUAGGUGGCGAGCGUUAUUCGGAUUUACUGGGCGUAAAGAGUUCGUAGGGGGUUUGGAAAGUUUGAUGUGAAAGCCAACGGCUUAACCGUUGAAUUGCAUUGAAAACUACCAGACUAGAGUUUGUGAGAGGAGAGUGGAAUUUCUGGUGUAGCGGUGGAAUGCGUAGAUAUCAGAAGGAACACCAAAGGCGAAGGCAGCUCUCUGGAAUAAUACUGACCCUGAGGAACGAAAGUUAGGGUAGCAAACAGGAUUAGAUA